This 490-nucleotide ribosomal RNA is filed under the name uncultured bacterium. Its description in RNAcentral is "partial 16S ribosomal RNA". It matches the Rfam family "Bacterial small subunit ribosomal RNA", at positions 28 to 507 of the family's 1533-position model. The record is from RNAcentral.
GAUGAACGCUAGCGACAUGCUUAACACAUGCAAGUCGAGGGAGAACUAUGAGAGAGCUGGCGCUCUUAUGCGUCGACCGUCGCACGGUGGAGUAACGCGUAUCCAACCUACCCGUUACAGGUGGAUAACCUUGCGAAAGUCAUAGUAAUACCCCAUUGCAGCUUUUGGUUGCAUCAUUAUAGGAUUAGAUAGUUAGUGGUAAUGGAUGGGGAUGCGUCGGAUUAGCUUGUUGGCUGGGUAACGGCCCACCAAGGCAACGAUCAGUAGGGGUUCUGAGAGGAAGGUCCCUCACAUUGGAACUGAGACACGGUCCAAACGACUACGGGAGGCAGCAGUGAGGAACAUUGGUCAAUGGGCGAGAGCUUGAACCAGUCAAGUAGCGUGUAGGCUGACGGUGCUAUGGGUUGUAAACUGCUUUUAUAGUGGAAUAAAGCGUGUUCCCUGUAGUUUAUUGCCUGUACCCUAUGAAUAAGGACCGGCUAACUCCGUG